CCAAAUUCAAGGGUGUGAGGCGAGCGGCUUAGGCCGCGAAGCAAUCGGAAGUGGUUCCAAGAAAAGCCUCUAAGCUUCAGUCUAACAAGACCGUACCGCAAACCGACACAGGUGGGCGAGAUGAGUAUUCUAAGGCGCUUGAGAGAACUCGGGAGAAGGAACUCGGCAAAUUGGUACCGUAACUUCGGGAUAAGGUACGCCCUUGUAGCUUGACUGGCCUGCGCCAGGAGGGUGAGAGGGUUGCAAUAAACUGGUGGCUGCGACUGUUUAAUAAAAACACAGCACUCUGCAAACACGAAAGUGGACGUAUAGGGUGUGACGCCUGCCCGGUGCCGGAAGAUUAAAUGAUGGGGUGCAAGCUCUUGAUUGAAGUCCCGGUAAACGGCGGCCGUAACGAUAACGGUCCUAAGGUAGCGAAAUUCCUUGUCGGGUAAGUUCCGACCUGCACGAAUGGCGUAACGAUGGCCACACUGUCUCCUCCCGAGACUCAGCGAAGUUGAAGUGUUUGUGAUGAUGCAAUCUCCCCGCGGCUAGACGGAAAGACCCCAUGAACCUUUACUGUAGCUUUGCAUUGGACUUUGAACCGAUCUGUGUAGGAUAGGUGGGAGGCUAUGAAACCGGAACGCUAGUUUCGGUGGAGCCGUCCUUGAAAUACCACCCUGGUUUGUUUGAGGUUCUAACCUUGGUCCGUUAUCCGGACUGGGGACAGUGCAUGGUAGGCAGUUUGACUGGGGCGGUCUCCUCCCAAAGUGUAACGGAGGAGUACGAAGGUACGCUAGGUACGGUCGGAAAUCGUGCUGAUAGUGCAAUGGCAUAAGCGUGCUUAACUGCGAGACCGACAAGUCGAGCAGGUGCGAAAGCAGGUCAUAGUGAUCCGGUGGUUCUGUAUGGAAGGGCCAUCGCUCAACGGAUAAAAGGUACUCUGGGGAUAACAGGCUGAUACCGCCCAAGAGUUCAUAUCGACGGCGGUGUUUGGCACCUCGAUGUCGGCUCAUCUCAUCCUGGGGCUGUAGCCGGUCCCAAGGGUAUGGCUGUUCGCCAUUUAAAGAGGUACGUGAGCUGGGUUUAAAACGUCGUGAGACAGUUUGGUCCCUAUCUGCCGUGGGCGUUGGAUAUUUGAAGGGGGCUGCUCCUAGUACGAGAGGACCGGAGUGGACGAACCUCUGGUGUACCGGUUGUCACGCCAGUGGCAUCGCCGGGUAGCUAUGUUCGGAAGAGAUAACCGCUGAAAGCAUCUAAGCGGGAAACUCGCCUUAAGAUGAGAUAUCCCCGGGGACUUGAUCCCCUUGAAGGGUCGUUCUAGACCAGGACGUUGAUAGGUCAGGUGUGGAAGUCAGAAAAAAA
RNAcentral lists this ribosomal RNA (1344 nucleotides) under metagenome. Its description in RNAcentral is "bacterial LSU rRNA". It matches the Rfam family "Bacterial large subunit ribosomal RNA", at positions 1550 to 2885 of the family's 2925-position model. The record is from RNAcentral.